Molecule: ribosomal RNA, 252 nt
Filed under: uncultured bacterium
Lineage: Bacteria
Description: partial 16S ribosomal RNA
Rfam family: Bacterial small subunit ribosomal RNA
Source: RNAcentral
UACGGAGGAUGCGAGCGUUAUCCGGAUUUAUUGGGUUUAAAGGGUGCGCAGGCGGCACGGCAAGCCGGCGGUCAAAUCGCGGGGCUCAACCCCGCCCUGCCGUCGGAACUGCCGGGCUAGAGUGGGCGAGAAGUGCGCGGAAUGCGUGGUGUAGCGGUGAAAUGCUUAGAUAUCACGAAGAACUCCGAUUGCGAAGGCAGCUCACUAGACUGCAACUGACACUGAUGCUCGAAAGUGUGGGUAUCAAACAGG